GACGAACGCUGGCGGCGUGCUUAACACAUGCAAGUCGAACGGAAAGGCCCUGCUUUUGUGGGGUGCUCGAGUGGCGAACGGGUGAGUAACACGUGAGUAACCUGCCCUUGACUUUGGGAUAACUUCAGGAAACUGGGGCUAAUACCGGAUAGGAGCUCCUGCUGCAUGGUGGGGGUUGGAAAGUUUCGGCGGUUGGGGAUGGACUCGCGGCUUAUCAGCUUGUUGGUGGGGUAGUGGCUUACCAAGGCUUUGACGGGUAGCCGGCCUGAGAGGGUGACCGGCCACAAUGGGACUGAGAUACGGCCCAGACGCCUACGGGAGGCAGCAGUGGGGAAUAUUGCACAAUGGGCGGAAGCCUGAUGCAGCAACGCCGCGUGCGUGAUGACGGCCUUCGGGUUGUAAACCGCUUUCGCCUGUGACGAAGCGUGAGUGACGGUAAUGGGUAAAGAAGCACCGGCUAACUACGUG
RNAcentral lists this ribosomal RNA (468 nucleotides) under uncultured bacterium. RNAcentral describes it as "partial 16S ribosomal RNA". It matches the Rfam family "Bacterial small subunit ribosomal RNA", at positions 28 to 507 of the family's 1533-position model. The record is from RNAcentral.